GACGAACGCUGGCGGCGUGCUUAACACAUGCAAGUCGAACGGAAAGGCCCGGCUUUUGUGGGGUGCUCGAGUGGCGAACGGGUGAGUAACACGUGAGUAACCUGCCCUUGCCUUUGGGAUAACUUCAGGAAACUGGGGCUAAUACCGGAUAGGAGCUCUUGCUGCAGGGUGGGGGUUGGAAGGUUUCGGCGGUUGGGGAUGGACUCGCGGCUUAUCAGAUUGUUGGUGGGGUAGUGGCUUACCAAGGCUUUGACGGGUAGCCGGCCUGAGAGGGUGACCGGCCACAUUGGGACUGAGAUACGGCCCAGACUACUACGGGAGGCAGCAGUGGGGAAUAUUGCACAAGGGGCGGAAGCCUGAUGCAGCAACGCCGCGUGCGGGAUGACGGCCUUCGGGUUGUAAACCGCUUUCGCCUGUGACGAAGCGUGAGUGACGGUAAUGGGUAAAGAAGCACCGGCUAACUACGUG
This 468-nucleotide ribosomal RNA is filed under the name uncultured bacterium. RNAcentral describes it as "partial 16S ribosomal RNA". It matches the Rfam family "Bacterial small subunit ribosomal RNA", at positions 28 to 507 of the family's 1533-position model. The record is from RNAcentral.